GACGAACGCUGGCGGCGUGCUUAACACAUGCAAGUCGAACGGUGAAGCUCCAGCUUGCUGGAGUGGAUCAGUGGCGAACGGGUGAGUAACACGUGAGCAACCUGCCCCUGACUCUGGAAUAAGCGCUGGAAACGGCGUCUAAUACUGGAUACGAGAAGGGUCCGCAUGGGCACUUUCUGGAAAGUUUUUCGGUUGGGGAUGGGCUCGCGGCCUAUCAGCUUGUUGGUGAGGUAAUGGCUCACCAAGGCGACGACGGGUAGCCGGCCUGAGAGGGCGACCGGCCACACUGGGACUGAGACACGGCCCAGACUCCUACGGGAGGCAGCAGUGGGGAAUAUUGCACAAUGGGCGAAAGCCUGAUGCAGCGACGCCGCGUGAGGGAUGACGGCCUUCGGGUUGUAAACCUCUUUCAGCAGGGAAGAAGCGAAAGUGAUGGUACCUGCAGAAGAAGCACCGGCUAACUACGUG
This 468-nucleotide ribosomal RNA is filed under the name uncultured bacterium. Its description in RNAcentral is "partial 16S ribosomal RNA". It matches the Rfam family "Bacterial small subunit ribosomal RNA", at positions 28 to 507 of the family's 1533-position model. The record is from RNAcentral.